UACUCACUCCCUCCGUUCGGAAAUACUUGUCGUAGAAAUGCAUAAAAUGGAUGUAUCUAAAACUAAAAUACGUCUAGAUACAUUCAUUCUUUUGACAAAUAUUUUCGGACGGAGGGAGUAGGAC
This is a non-coding RNA of Triticum aestivum (bread wheat), 124 nucleotides long. NCBI's taxonomy places the organism in Eukaryota, Viridiplantae, Streptophyta, Magnoliopsida, Poales, Poaceae. The record is from Rfam.